UGGGGAAUAUUGGACAAUGGGCGAAAGCCUGAUCCAGCCAUGCCGCGUGAGUGAAGAAGGUCUUCGGAUUGUAAAGCACUUUAAGUUGGGAGGAAGGGCAGUAAGCGAAUACCUUGCUGUUUUGACGUUACCGACAGAAUAAGCACCGGCUAACUCUGUGCCAGCAGCCGCGGUAAUACAGAGGGUGCAAGCGUUAAUCGGAAUUACUGGGCGUAAAGCGCGCGUAGGUGGUUCGUUAAGUUGAAUGUGAAAGCCCCGGGCUCAACCUGGGAACUGCAUCCAAAACUGGCGAGCUAGAGUAGGGCAGAGGGUGGUGGAAUUUCCUGUGUAGCGGUGAAAUGCGUAGAUAUAGGAAGGAACACCAGUGGCGAAGGCGACCACCUGGGCUCAUACUGACACUGAGGUGCGAAAGCGUGGGGAGCAAACAGG
Molecule: ribosomal RNA, 429 nt
Filed under: Pseudomonadota bacterium
Lineage: Bacteria; Pseudomonadati; Pseudomonadota
Description: Proteobacteria bacterium partial 16S ribosomal RNA
Rfam family: Bacterial small subunit ribosomal RNA
Source: RNAcentral